This 253-nucleotide ribosomal RNA is filed under the name uncultured bacterium. Its description in RNAcentral is "partial 16S ribosomal RNA". It matches the Rfam family "Bacterial small subunit ribosomal RNA", at positions 524 to 776 of the family's 1533-position model. The record is from RNAcentral.
UACGGAGGGGGCGAGCGUUGUCCGAAGUUACUGGGCGUAAAGCGCGUGUAGGCGGGUUGUCAAGUCCGCUGUGAAAGCCCGAGGCUCAACCUCGGAGGGUCGGUGGAUACUGGGGGACUUGAGUGCAGAAGAGGAAAGUGGAAUUCCACGUGUAGCGGUGAAAUGCGUAGAGAUGUGGAGGAACACCAGUGGCGAAGGCGACUUUCUGGUCUGUAACUGACGCUGAGGCGCGAAAGCGUGGGGAGCAAACAGG